UAGGGAAUCUUCCGCAAUGGGCGAAAGCCUGACGGAGCAACGCCGCGUGAGUGAAGAAGGAUUUCGGUUCGUAAAGCUCUGUUGUUAGGGAAGAAUGAUUGUAUAGUAACUAUAUACAGUAGAGACGGUACCUAACCAGAAAGCCACGGCUAACUACGUGCCAGCAGCCGCGGUAAUACGUAGGUGGCAAGCGUUGUCCGGAAUUAUUGGGCGUAAAGCGCGCGCAGGUGGUUUAAUAAGUCUGAUGUGAAAGCCCACGGCUCAACCGUGGAGGGUCAUUGGAAACUGUUAAACUUGAGUGCAGGAGAGAAAAGUGGAAUUCCUAGUGUAGCGGUGAAAUGCGUAGAGAUUAGGAGGAACACCAGUGGCGAAGGCGGCUUUUUGGCCUGUAACUGACACUGAGGCGCGAAAGCGUGGGGAGCAAACAGGAUUAGAUACCCUGGUAGUCCACGCCGUAAACGAUGAGUGCUAAGUGUUGGUCUCAUAAGAGAUCAGUGCUGCAGCUAACGCAUUAAGCACUCCGCCUGGGGAGUACNGGCCGCAAGGUUG
RNAcentral lists this ribosomal RNA (549 nucleotides) under uncultured bacterium. RNAcentral describes it as "bacterial SSU rRNA". It matches the Rfam family "Bacterial small subunit ribosomal RNA", at positions 355 to 896 of the family's 1533-position model. The record is from RNAcentral.